This 71-nucleotide transfer RNA is filed under the name Candidatus Woesearchaeota archaeon. RNAcentral's name for it is "tRNA-His". It matches the Rfam family "tRNA". From Rfam's summary of the family: Transfer RNA (tRNA) molecules are approximately 80 nucleotides in length. Their secondary structure includes four short double-helical elements and three loops (D, anti-codon, and T loops). Lineage: Archaea; Nanobdellati; Candidatus Woesearchaeota. The record is from RNAcentral.
GUGAUAGUGGUGUAAUGGAAGCAUGGAAGCCUGUGGAGCUUCAGGAUCGGGUUCAAUUCCCGGCUAUCGCC